Molecule: long non-coding RNA, 1143 nt
Organism: Tympanuchus pallidicinctus (lesser prairie-chicken)
Lineage: Eukaryota; Metazoa; Chordata; Aves; Galliformes; Phasianidae
Exons: 2
Source: RefSeq, a predicted model, not a curated record
CAAAAUGGCUAUUGGAAUUUCUGCAUUCCAGAUUUUUUGGGGGUGAGAUAGGAGAUGCAAUGCCAAGAGCAUUCAAUGUGCUGCACUCCGAGCCGCCAGCCCCCGCGCAGGGCUCACUGUGAUGCACUCACACAAAUGAAAGCCACAGCAACAGGUGUAGCUUUGCUCGUUUCAACCUGUCCUAAAAUAGCCCGUUCUGUUUUCUGCUGUUUGCUGGCAGGUGGGUGGUGCAGCUCAGCGAUGUGCUGCAAACGCUGUUAGGGCUGAAGGGAGCCCUGCCACCAUCUGUGAUGUGGAUCAGACCACCCUGCCACACUUGUGUCUUGGGCCUAGCUCCUGUCCUUCACUGCGGGGCAGGAGGUUCAUUACACGGCGCAGUGUUUGCAGACUCUCCUGCUGAAGCAGAGGGUUUGAACCUGUAAUUGGUGCUGGCCCUACACAGGCAUGGGGCACAAUGUAGGGAGUGCUAUAUGGUGUUGGAAAUGGGAGGGCAAGGGGCUCACUGCCUUUGCUGUAGAUGGUGGCUGGGAUGUCCUGUUCAGAGCAUCAUCCCCACCUGCACAUCCCUGCAGCAUCAGCAGCGCCAGUAAUGCCUUCCUGGCACUUCUCCAUGGAUCCGAUUAUGGUGUCCCUUCUGCGUGAUGGGUUGUGCUCUGCAGAAGCAGCAUGAGGAAGGAAAGUGUGAUUGGUGAGAUGGGGCCACGGCUGCACUUUAAAAGCUCUGAUAGCAAUCACCGUGAGCAGAUGAGGAAGCAUUGCAGCAAGCUGCACACUGAGCUUGGACCAUGCAGCCUCUCCAGUGUGCCCACCUGCUCCUCCUGAUUGCCCUGCUCGCCCUCUGCUUGCCCUUAGGCCAGGCGGAGGACAACAGCACCAUGACAGAGGGGAUCGUAGCCCGGAGCCCGCCCUGCGGCAGCCCUGCUCUCCUGUCCCUGGCCCUGGGGCUGGCUGCGGCCUUCCUCCUGCGGCUCUGCUGAGCCGAAGGUCCCCGCAGUCCAGCGCUUCCCCGCUCCGCCGCCGGGCCCGGCCAGCUCCCGUCCCCGUGUCCCCACAGUGCUUCCCUAUGGCCGCAGCCUCCAGGAGGAUCAGCUCCAAGCACGGUCGUGCUGCGAAGCUCUGAGAAAUAAAGUACGGAGGCUCCGA